RNAcentral lists this ribosomal RNA (249 nucleotides) under uncultured bacterium. RNAcentral describes it as "partial 16S ribosomal RNA". It matches the Rfam family "Bacterial small subunit ribosomal RNA", at positions 523 to 769 of the family's 1533-position model. The record is from RNAcentral.
AUACGUAGGGGGCAAGCGUUAUCCGGAUUUACUGGGUGUAAAGGGAGUCGUAGACGGUUAAAUAAGUCUGAUGUGAAAGCCCCGCGGCUCAACCGCGGGACUGCAUUGGAAACUAUUCAACUAGAGUGCAGGAGAGGUAAGUGGAAUUCCUAGUGUAGCGGUGAAAUGCGUAGAUAUUAGGAGGAACACCAGUGGCGAAGGCGGCUUACUGGACUGUAACUGACGUUGAGGCUCGAAAGCGUGGGGAGC